AGGGAUAUAGUAUAAUGGUUAGUAUCGUGGUCUCCAAAACCAUUGGUCUGGGUUCGAAUCCUAGUAUCCCUG
This 72-nucleotide transfer RNA is filed under the name Sphingobacterium bovisgrunnientis. Its description in RNAcentral is "tRNA-Trp". It matches the Rfam family "tRNA". Rfam says of the family: Transfer RNA (tRNA) molecules are approximately 80 nucleotides in length. Their secondary structure includes four short double-helical elements and three loops (D, anti-codon, and T loops). RNAcentral also lists the same sequence under 2 other names. Lineage: Bacteria; Pseudomonadati; Bacteroidota; Sphingobacteriia; Sphingobacteriales; Sphingobacteriaceae. The record is from RNAcentral.